AUGAGUUGUUGAGGACUCUUGUCUAGUUUCCUUCUAGAGGAUAAGAAAUGGGACUAGACUUGUAUAAUUUGUUAAAACUCUUUAGAGGCUAGUAUAUUUUUUAUAGGUUAUCUCUUUUGAUUUGUAUAUAAGUAUAGAUAACCUAAUGCCUCAGUGUACAAUUUUUUUGUAGGUUGUAUUGGGAUGAAUAGUUCUACUGCUAUGUACAUAUCUUUAUUUAUGUGUGCUCUAUUAAACGUUGGUGCCUCACUUGGCAUCGAGACAUUGCAUUUUAUAUUUAUAGCUAAUUUUUAAUGCUUAAGUAAUUAUAAUUAUAAUUUAAUUAAUGACAUGUGUACAAUAUUCAAAUUUUUUUGUUGGCACAAGAUAUAAAUAAAAAGUUUAUACUAAUAGAGAAAAAUAUCUUACCUAUUUUACAAAUAGAGAUUUUCUGUUUAUAUCCAAAAUUUAUGUAUUUUUCUUUUAGUGAAAACAAAAUGCUUUUUGAUUGCUCAGUAAUAAUGUUGCAGGUAAAAUGAGUAUACUAAAUUAAAUGUUAUGGAUUUUGCAUAUCUAUCUUGUCCAAAACUAGACACUAAAAAACAUGAACCUUAUUACCCAUUAUUAAUUACCCUUUUUUUUGUUUCUAUUUAGUUAAAAUAACUUCCUAAUAUUACUUUCUCUCAUUCAUUUUCAUCUUAUAACCUAUAAUUAUUAAAUUUCUUUUUACUUUUCAUUUCAUAUGUGUAAAUGCAAGUUGAAUUUCUUUUAUAGGGAUGUAAUUUGGAUGAAUUUUUACAUAUAACUAAUAUUACACUUACCCAAAUUAUGAUAAAUUUUGAUAUGUUGGAGAUACUAUUAGUUACCAAAUUCUUUCUUUUAAUUACACAAUACAUUUGCAUGUAUUCACAUGGAUCAUCAUACAUGUUUUAUGAUGAGUAUAUUGUAUAUAUAAUGUGCAUAUUAUAUGAUCACUAUUAUUAUUAGGCAGCACAAGUUGUCUAUACUUAAAAUGCAUAUAUCAUAUGUAAAUAGUAUUAACAUGCAUUGCAUGCAUGCCACUAGGCAUAUGACAUGUACGAAAAUGAAAUAAUACAUACUAUUGUAUGCAUAUAUCAUACAUAAAUUAUACGUUGCACGCAUAUUGGUAGGUAUAUUAUAUGUAAGGCAUAAAAUUUUUAAUAGCAUGUCAAAAUGGCAAUAAAAAGAGAUGUUUAAUGAUAAAGGGU
This 1208-nucleotide long non-coding RNA is filed under the name Carica papaya (papaya). RNAcentral describes it as "long non-coding RNA (CPAP_LNC013514)". Lineage: Eukaryota; Viridiplantae; Streptophyta; Magnoliopsida; Brassicales; Caricaceae. The record is from RNAcentral.